AAGUCGUAACAAGGUUUCCGUAGGUGAACCUGCGGAAGGAUCAUUAACACGUAUCCAACGUUAAACCCCCUGUGAACCUUCAUUGUACGAGUUACAUCCACGUCAUAAACCGGCAAUCUCUGGUAAAUCAUCGCCGAACAGUUUUGAUUCAGAGACCUCUGGGAAGGGUGUACGGUAGUGCGAGGCAAUUGACCUGGCAUUCCUCUGCUUGUUAGUGUCUGAAAGUGUCACUAGUAACGAUCGCUGGAGGCCGACACGGCCGGCGACCAGGUCACUGGGCUACGGCCCCCCUGAUCACAACCUUUGCAUGAAAACGGGCCUGCGCUGAGGUGCGGCCACCCCUAAUGCUUGAACAAUUGUUAACAAUGGAUAUCUUGGUUCUC
RNAcentral lists this unclassified non-coding RNA (383 nucleotides) under fungal sp. RNAcentral describes it as "partial internal transcribed spacer region". The stretch from base 1 to 46 matches the Rfam family "Eukaryotic small subunit ribosomal RNA", at positions 1786 to 1831 of the family's 1831-position model. The record is from RNAcentral. Lineage: Eukaryota; Fungi.